AGUGAACGCUGGCGGUAGGCCUAACACAUGCAAGUCGAACGGCAGCACAGUAAGAGCUUGCUCUUACGGGUGGCGAGUGGCGGACGGGUGAGGAAUACAUCGGAAUCUACUUUUUCGUGGGGGAUAACGUAGGGAAACUUACGCUACUACCGCAUACGACCUACGGGUGAAAGCAGGGGAUCUUCGGACCUUGCGCGAUUGAAUGAGCCGAUGUCGGAUUAGCUAGUUGGCGGGGUAAAGGCCCACCAAGGCGACGAUCCGUAGCUGGUCUGAGAGGAUGAUCAGCCACACUGGAACUGAGAAACGGUCCAGACUCCUACGGGAGGCAGCAGUGGGGAAUAUUGGACAAUGGGCGCAAGCCUGAUCCAGCCAUACCGCGUGGGUGAAGAAGGCCUUCGGGUUGUAAAGCCCUUUUGUUGGGAAAGAAAAGCAGCAGGUUAAUACCCCGCUGUUCUGACGGUACCCAAAGAAUAAGCACCGGCUAACUUCGUG
Molecule: ribosomal RNA, 492 nt
Filed under: uncultured bacterium
Lineage: Bacteria
Description: partial 16S ribosomal RNA
Rfam family: Bacterial small subunit ribosomal RNA
Source: RNAcentral